Molecule: RNA transcript, 5379 nt
Organism: Peromyscus californicus insignis
Lineage: Eukaryota; Metazoa; Chordata; Mammalia; Rodentia; Cricetidae
Gene: Cimip6
Gene name: chromosome unknown C2orf73 homolog
Exons: 5
Source: RefSeq, a predicted model, not a curated record
CAGUCUCCACUAAACCACAUCUGUCCCAAGCGAAUAGAAAUACGCAAACUGACUUUGGUGUCCCAUGAUUACACAAACUCCUCAUACACAGGAGAGCUCAGUUCAACAGAAACCUCUGUAAUCCCAUUUCCUUUUCUAUGCAGGAAAACACUUCAGUUAUCACAUGUGCCAAAGACGUUUGGCUCUGGUAGUGGAAACUAGGAAGCAAUGGUAAAAUGAAGUAAGAAAUUCCAGGUCCAAGGUGAAUGUCAAGUCUUUUCCCGGGAGCUUGCGCUUUGGGGAAAGUGCAGGCAUGCAAGCCCGACUCUGCAGAAACCUGCAGUCCCCUGCAACCACUCCGCUCAGAUAGCGCAGAUGCACGCACCACAGGGAGCCUCAUUUGCAGAGGAGUGUUUCUUUGUUCUGUUUUAAAGCUCGCCACAGGUCUGGCGACAGAGAUUCGGUCAGUAACCACGGUAAAGUGGCAGCCAAGCUUCCCCACGGGAAUUAGGACUUGCACAGCGCAGAAUCAUGGAAAGCAGGUUUCCCAGGCAGCGGGGAAGGCCUGGAAGCCAUCCUCGCUCACUCCUCAAGACCAUCCUGGUCCCCACGAGGCUGGCUCUAUGUGGCUCUAGGACUGGCUAAGUUCAAACUUAUUGUCCAACCUGAGGCCAGAGAUAGGAACAAGAGACUUGCUGGCUCUUUCCCUCCCUCCAGCUUGGGGCCAGCCACGCCCGACUGCGAACGCCCAGCAAAGCUCCCUUUACUGCGCCUGCGCUCAGGUCCCAGCCUCCUGCAGCUUUUCCCUGAGGCUUCAGUCGCUUAGCAACACUGGAGUCACAAUGGCAGCGCCCUGGAUCCCCUCUUGGAGCAAGGGUUGGUCAGUGUUCUCUCCUAACGUUCCUGGCUGCCGCGUGCCAGGCGGAGGAGGCCAUGGACGGAGAGGAGAAGCAGCAAGAAAAUGGUGGUUACAUAGUGAAGCAGGAGAACCUGUCUCCCAACCAUCUUAUGACACCAACAGCACCCAGAGGAGUGAUUUUCAAAAGCCAGCGUGCCCGCUGGUUUUGCCAGUCAAACACAACAGGAUGCGAAAGCCUUCUUGUGGAAUAGUUCCACUUACCUGUCUGAGUUCAUCAGCAGAACAUGAAAAAAAUUUUGUAGAAUACAUCUCCUUUAUACAUCAAUAUGAUUCCAGGAAAACUCCCAAUGAGCCCAUCCGGGGAAAGAGGUAUGGAACCUUUGUGCAGAGAGAAAUAAAGCCACGGACUACACCAUUAAUUCCUAAGGGACCAGAGGUAUUACUAAACACUCCAGGGUCAUGUUCAUCAGGACAGCCCCAAAAUACAGAAAAAGAAAAUUCAUCAGGAGAUAGAGUGACCUCACCCGGCCUGUGCUGACAGAAUUCCCAAGAACUGCUGCAGACCUAAAACAGCUUAUCAGAAACAGAAGGCAGUCCAGCCCAGCAGGCCCAGUGCCUGGGGUGUGGGCAAGCUCUUCUCACCAGGCAUAGGCCUUUGAACCUGCUAAUAAUAAAGUCAGGGUGAGGACAAAUUCUGGUGUAUCAGAUGAAAGCGUCAUCCCUGGAAUGUAGGCAGAUUUCCCCAGUGUCAUGAGGGCACUUGGUGUUGUUAUCAGUAACCUCAGAACACAGAAUUUACAUAAAUAGGGGGGAAAUUAAAUAAUACACCUCAAUUUUAAGCGGUCCAAAUGAGUGAUAGAUUAGGAAACAGUGUAUCUGUCUCUUUUAUAAACAAAACAACUUAAUAGAAAAACAAACUCUUAAAGGAGAGGCCCAGUUUACACAAUCAUUAGUUACAGCCCUGGAAUCAAACUGGCUGGAAUGUUGACUGUAUUUCAUGAAAGUUGUGUGACCUUGGCUAAGUUACUUAACCAUGACCAAAAAGCAAGCUGGGGAGGAAAGGGUUUAUUAGACUUACACUUCAGCAUUGCUGUUCACCACUGAAGGAAGUCAGGACAGGAACUCAAGACAGGGCAGGAUCCUGGAAGCAGGAGCUGAUGCAGAAGCCUUGGAGGGGAGCUGCAUCCUGGCUUGCUUCCCAUGGCUUGCUCAGCUGAACUUCUUAUAGAACCCAGAACUAGCAGCCUAGGGAUGGCACCACACACUAUGGGCUGGGCCUUCCCCCAUUGAUCACUAAAUAAGAAAAUGCCUUACAGCUGGAUCUCAUGGAGGCAUUUCCUCAGCUGAGGUUCCUUCCUCUGAUGACUCUAGCUUGUAACAAGUUUGCACACAAAACCAGCCAGUACAACUUCUUUAGAUUUCAUAAAGUUAUUGAGCACGAGAUUGUACACAUUGAUCAAUAUAUGGUCAUUGUAAUCCCAUCAUUACUUAAAUGUUCAAUUUAAGGAUAAUUUUCUAUAAAUUUUAAUUCUUCUUUCUUAUUCUAAAACUUAGACCUCCUCUAUACACAACUGGGUGAUGUGGGAUGUCUUUCUGUAUGCUGUGAAUAUGUGUUGCUCUAAUUGGUGGAUAAAUAAAGCUGCAUUGGCCUAUGGCAAGGCAACUUAGAGGCAGGUGGGAAAUCUAAGCAUAUAUAUGGAGAAAAGAAAGGAAAGGAGAGAGAGAUGCCAGCUGCCACCAAAGGAGCAGCAAGAGGCCAGCAGACUGGUAAUGCCACGACCACAUGGCAAUUUAUAAAUUAAUAGAAAUGGGUUAAGUUACAAGAGCUAGCAAGCAAGAAGCCUGCCAUAGGUCAUACAAUUGGUAAUUAAUAUAAGCCUCUCAAUUAUUAUUUUAUAAGCAGCUGUGGGACCAUGGGGCCAAGUGGAACUGGAGAAAUCUUCCAGCUCUAAUUGGCACCCAGACAUGGUAGCAAGAAUUUCCUCCAAAAUCCUAAGAAAGCUUUUUAAAAAUUUCUAAAACAGAGCUAAAAGCAGCUUCCUAAAUGUGUCUCUCAGGCAAGCCAUGAGCUACACUAUGGUGGGUUCACAGCAUGUGGGCUUGAGCUACAGCAUGGAGAAUUCCCACCAAGUUACACAGAGGUUUCUCCAAGCUGUGCAGCACUCUGUAUAGUGGAUUUAGCUUUUGCUAGUUAAAAAAAAAAAAUUUGAAAAAAAGGUUUCUGGGCUACACAUUUCUUGAUAGAGGCAUAGACCUACUGCCUCCCAGAGUCAGCAGAGAGUAUGACUCCCCCAGAGCUGAUGAUAAAGGUACCUCUGCCAUGUUGAGAAGCUGCAGUGGGUGGAGUCAGCAGCCAAGGCCACUUUUCAUCCUAGCCAUGCAGUUUAACAGUUUAAAAUCUCUCCUGGUCAGAGAAGGAUUAUAGAUUCACAAUAAGACAGAUUCAGAUGGAAUAAAACUCUAAACUGUUUACAAUGUGUGUAAAAAUGUAGGUAGACUUGGAAGAGAGAGAAAAAAGAAUAUAUGCAGUUAUAUAAAGAAAUAGGAAUAUAUGCAGUUAUAUAAAGAAAUAGAUAGUUUUUAAAAAUACAGUCUUUAAAGAGACAGUAAAAGUAAUAUAAAAAUAAGCCACAUAAAGAUGGAAAUCACACACAGAGUCUGGAUUAUAUUGUCUUUGGAAUUUUUAACUGCAGAGAGACAUUUGAUUGUAAAGGCUACUCAGUUAAACCAGUGUGGACAUUUGAAAGCUAUCUUGACUUCAAAAUAUGUGUCUAAGGAUAUGUUGCCUUGGAAAAGAGGUUCUGCUUUUGUUUCCACAGAAGAUGAGAACCUAUGGAUUGCUUCUAGGCUAAUAUGGUUUGAUCAACCAAAAUCCCCUGAAAGGUUGAUACAGCCUCACAGACUACUACAGCCAUGAUUUAACUACAAUUCUUAAUUUUCUCAGGAUCCCCAUAAGAAUGCCAGUGCCCCCCAAUUACCAGGAAGUAGUAUAAGAAGCUGCACUCAAAUUCCCAAAAUAUUGCUUAUUUUCAUUUAUUUUUUUAAUUUGGAAAAUUGAAAUAUGUACACCAUACCAUUGAUACUUAUUCAGGAUUUUAAUGGGCAACUGCUUUGAGUUCUGAAAAAGCUGAUUCUGUAGUCACACAUUUACUAGAAGUUAUGGCCAUCAUGGAUAUACUUGCACAAAUUAUAACUGACAAUGCUCCAGCAUAUGUUUCUUGUAAAAUGAAACAUUUUUUUGCUCAUUACAAUAUAAAGCAUAUUACAGGCAACACUACACAAUCCUACCAGCCGAGCAGUUAUAGAAAGAUCAAACAGAACUCUAAAGGACAUGCUAAAUAAACAGAAAGGGGUAACAAAAACUCCCAGAAAUAGAUUACAUAAUGCUCUAUUAACUUUGAAUUUUCUCAAUGCUAGUGAGAAAGGAACAACAGCUGCAGAGAGACAUUGAAUAAUAGAAAAAACUACAGAAUUAAAUCAGCCUAUAUACUUUAAGGAUGUGCUGACCUCAAAAUGGAAACCAGGAGAUGUGUUAUGUUGGGGACGAGGUUUUGCUUUUGUUUCUACAGAAGAAGAUAAGCUGUGGAUACCAUCAAAAUGGAUAAAGGUUCAAUUUGAACGAGAGACCUCUUAAUUAGAAGAGGUAAUAGUUCAUCAACCAGCAUGACCAUUCAAUUUAAACUAAUUUAUACCAUUAACACAUGCAUUUUCAUUUAAUCAGAUAUAACUUGCCAAUAGGGAACCUCCCCAAAGUUAAUCUUGGGGAAAGGUUUUUGUUUUUGUCUUUUAGGAGAAUGAAGGCUAAGGAAUCUGAAGAACACUGGACAGAUUGAAACAUCUGAAGAAAAAUGACAAAUCAUCUAGAAAAAAUGUCCCCAGAAAAGGAGUAAAUUGGCCUAUUGAGAAAUAAUCAAUCAAUGGGACCUUUUGAAACUGAGAAGCUUUUGUAGAGCAAAGGAUACGGUCAACAAGGCAAAGCGACAGCCUACAGAAUGGGAAAAGAUCUUCACCAACCCCACAUCUGACAGAGGACUGAUAUCCAGAAUAUAUAAGGAACUCAAGAAAUUAGACAUCAAAAUGCCCAACAGUCCAAUUAAGAAAUGGGCUAUAGAACUAAACAGAGAAUUCUCAACAGAGGAAACUCAAAUGGCCGAAAGACAUUUAAGGAAUUGCUCAUCAUCCCUAAUCAUCAGGGAAAUGCAAAUCAAAACAACUCUGAGAUACCACCUUACGCCUGUCAGAAUGGCUAAGAUCAAAAACACUGAAGACACCUUAUGCUGGAGAGGAUGUGGAGCUAGAGGAACUCUCCUCCACUGCUGGUGGGAAUGCAAGCUUGUACAACCACUUUGGAAAUCAAUAUGGCGCUUUCUUAGAAAAUUGGGAAUCAAUCUCCCCCAAGAUCCAGCUAUACCACUCUUGGGCAUAUACCCAAGAAAUGCUCAACCACACCAUAAGAGCACUUGUUCAGCUAUGUUCAUAUCAGCAUUGUUUGUAAUAGCCAGAACAUGGAAACAACCCAGAUGCCCUUCAACUGAAGAAUG